GGACGAACGCUGGCGGCGUGCUUAACACAUGCAAGUCGAACGGAAAGGCCCUGCUUUUGUGGGGUGCUCGAGUGGCGAACGGGUGAGUAACACGUGAGUAACCUGCCCUUGACUUUGGGAUAACUUCAGGAAACUGGGGCUAAUACCGGAUAGGAGCUCCUGCUGCAUGGUGGGGGUUGGAAAGUUUCGGCGGUUGGGGAUGGACUCGCGGCUUAUCAGCUUGUUGGUGGGGUAGUGGCUUACCAAGGCUUUGACGGGUAGCCGGCCUGAGAGGGUGACCGGCCACAUUGGGACUGAGAUACGGCCCAGACUCCUACGGGAGGCAGCAGUGGGGAAUAUUGCACAAUGGGCGGAAGCCUGAUGCAGCAACGCCGCGUGCGGGAUGACGGCCUUCGGGCUGUAAACCGCUUUCGCCUGUGACGAAGCGUGAGUGACGGUAAUGGGUAAAGAAGCACCGGCUAACUACGUG
RNAcentral lists this ribosomal RNA (469 nucleotides) under uncultured bacterium. RNAcentral's name for it is "partial 16S ribosomal RNA". It matches the Rfam family "Bacterial small subunit ribosomal RNA", at positions 27 to 507 of the family's 1533-position model. The record is from RNAcentral.